Long non-coding RNA from Ictalurus punctatus (channel catfish), 1366 nucleotides. NCBI's taxonomy places the organism in Eukaryota, Metazoa, Chordata, Actinopteri, Siluriformes, Ictaluridae. The record is from Ensembl.
GUUAUGGGGGUUCUGUGCAGCAAAGCAUUCUGGGAAGGAACAGGAUUUAAUUUUUUUUUUUCUCCCCUUCACUCCCUUUCUCACAGCGUUUCUUGCUCAGAGACUUGCUGAUACAAGCCUGCACACCCCAGACAGCAUUAUCUCUCUAUUUGUGUUCUUUUUGUGUUUGUUUGUUGUGUUGUUGUUUUUUUUUUUUUUCUUUUUAAACCGAUACGAACAAGUCGACACUGUAUGCAUGACGUGAGCGAGGAAGCCGAGUUGACACAGGAUAAAAAAAUGGAUAAAAGAUCUUUGAGAUUUAAAUGUGAGGAUUUAACAACGACGACAAAAAAACACACACACACACACACAAAGCACCCUCGAUACGUGUAAGAGAGAUCCGUGUUUCUCCCCAACACACCCACUCACACACACAAUUAUUUAGUGUUCAAUGCACAACUGUGAAUUUACGUGUCAUUCUUUCUUUCUCUUCUUCUUCUUUUUUUUUUUCUUUCUUCUCCUCCACGAGCGUCAGCGUCUUGUGUUCUUGUUGUGUUUCAGUUUCUCUCCACCGUUACCUCUACGACGAGUCUCAGUAUUAAUAUAAAGGCAGGCAGUCUGACGUAAAAACAAAAACACACAAUGUUCCUCUCCCCCUGAAUGUAGUCGAUCGGACAGGAAGUGCUAAGAUCGCUAAUAAUAAAAGGAAGUUUAGCGCUGCUAGGUUAGCGUUGUGCAAACUGCAUGUCUGACUCAUCACAUUUGCCUCAAAAGACAUGGACAUCACGAUGCUAAACUGGAGGUUGUACGCUUCUCUUGUUUAUUAGCCACGUUAGCAGCGUCAACGUCAGAUGUGGAUUAUAUUUGGGUUGAAGGAGGAAAAUGGUGGACAUUUUGUUUGUUUGUUUGUUUGUGUUUGUUUUUUUUGGUCAGAUGUGCGUCUUUACGUGCUGUUCCACAUCCUCAGUGCAGUUCUGUUUCUGUUGUCGCUGUUCUCUGUUUCCUCACGUUGGCUCAGAACCGUCGCUUCAUGGGAGAUUACAAAUUAUUAUUGUUUUGUUUUGUUUUUUUGUUGUUUAUUUUACUUAUAAGCCCCUUGGAAGCCCCGCCCCUUCCUGUUCCUUUUCUCCCAGUGGCCAAACUGAACUUAAUGCUGCUAGUCACUCAUGCGGGACUUUUGUUUUUUUUUCUUUUCGUUUGUUUGUUUUUUUCUCUCUCUUUCCUCCACUGGCUGUGACGUUUUAGUCCCAGACUAAAUCCUAAAAGAAUUUAGACUUAUAAAUAAAUCAACAAAAGACACACACAAGAUAUGAAAUCGGAUUUUUUUUUUUUUUUUUUGCCACUGAAACUUGAGCCAAAUGUGCCUCUACGAGGCUGAAAGAGCGAG